UCAAAAACUUGUCUCAGUUCGGAUUGUAGGCUGAAACUCGCCUACAUGAAGCUGGAGUUGCUAGUAAUCGCGAAUCAGCAUGUCGCGGUGAAUACGUUCCCGGGCCUUGUACACACCGCCCGUCACACCAUGAGAGUUGGCAAUACCCAACGUACGUGAUCUAACCCGCAAGGGAGGAAGCGUCCUAAGGUAGGGUCAGCGAUUGGGGUGAAGUCGUAACAAGGUAUC
RNAcentral lists this ribosomal RNA (228 nucleotides) under uncultured bacterium. RNAcentral's name for it is "partial 16S ribosomal RNA". It matches the Rfam family "Bacterial small subunit ribosomal RNA", at positions 1275 to 1500 of the family's 1533-position model. The record is from RNAcentral.